This 234-nucleotide ribosomal RNA is filed under the name uncultured bacterium. RNAcentral describes it as "partial 16S ribosomal RNA". It matches the Rfam family "Bacterial small subunit ribosomal RNA", at positions 96 to 334 of the family's 1533-position model. The record is from RNAcentral.
UGGCGGACGGGUGAGUAAUGUCUGGGAAACUGCCUGAUGGAGGGGGGUAACUACUGGAAACGGUAGCUAAUACCGCAUAACGUCGCAAGACCAAAGAGGGGGACCUUGGGCCUCUUGCCAUCGGAUGUGCCCAGAUGGGAUUAGCUAGUAGGUGGGGUAAAGGCUCACCUAGGCGACGAUCCCUAGCUGGUCUGAGAGGAUGACCAGCCACACUGGAACUGAGACACGGUCCAG